Molecule: ribosomal RNA, 494 nt
Filed under: uncultured bacterium
Lineage: Bacteria
Description: partial 16S ribosomal RNA
Rfam family: Bacterial small subunit ribosomal RNA
Source: RNAcentral
GAUGAACGCUGGCGGCGUGCCUAAUACAUGCAAGUCGAGCGAACAGACGAGGAGCUUGCUCCUCUGACGUUAGCGGCGGACGGGUGAGUAACACGUGGAUAACCUACCUAUAAGACUGGGAUAACUUCGGGAAACCGGAGCUAAUACCGGAUAAUAUAUUGAACCGCAUGGUUCAAUAGUGAAAGUCGGUUUUGCUGUCACUUAUAGAUGGAUCCGCGCCGCAUUAGCUAGUUGGUAAGGUAACGGCUUACCAAGGCAACGAUGCGUAGCCGACCUGAGAGGGUGAUCGGCCACACUGGAACUGAGACACGGUCCAGACUCCUACGGGAGGCAGCAGUAGGGAAUCUUCCGCAAUGGGCGAAAGCCUGACGGAGCAACGCCGCGUGAGUGAUGAAGGUCUUCGGAUCGUAAAACUCUGUUAUUAGGGAAGAACAAAUGUGUAAGUAACUAUGCACGUCUUGACGGUACCUAAUCAGAAAGCCACGGCUAACUAC